Hypanus sabinus (Atlantic stingray) is the source of this 1098-nucleotide long non-coding RNA. RefSeq lists it as uncharacterized. The transcript is spliced from 3 exons. The record is from RefSeq and is a predicted model, not a curated record. NCBI's taxonomy places the organism in Eukaryota, Metazoa, Chordata, Chondrichthyes, Myliobatiformes, Dasyatidae.
UUGGAUACCUAAGGUGUAAAAGAGAGACAAGAAUAGAUAUUGGACUACUGAAAAAUUACAUUGAAGAGUUAUUAAUGAAGGACAAACUAAUGCUGGACAACCUAAGUAUUUUGCAUCAGUCUUCAUUGUGGAAGAUAUUAGCAGUGUGGUGGGAGUUCCGGACUGUCAGGGGGCAGAAGUGUGUAAACGUAUGAUUACGAGAGAGAAGGUUCUUUGGAAGUUGAUAGGCUGAAAGUAGCUAAGCAAUCUGGAUCAGAUGGAUCUGAAAGAGAUGGCUGAAUAUGCACAUGUCAGCUAAUUAUUCUUUAGUUGUGAUAAUAUUUAACCCCAUACCUGUCGUCAUAGUGUUUGUCGAGACUUGGACACAGUCACAGCAGUUCUUUGCUGCCUGCAAUCCGCCUUGCCUGAGAAAUUGGACAGUCAGGUCAACUGACUCGGAAGACUAGAGGGUUCUUUUGAAGCUCCUGACCUGGAGUUACACACUGACUUCGGUUCUUUGUGGGAAUGGGGCCCGCUGUCGGGGUCUCACGUCUGGCCGUUAUUUGAUAUGCCAAGGACGUGGCUUGGAAGACUAGUGCGCCUUCAGUGUUGCGGGAUUUCGUGGCUCUGGAGCUGGUAUGGAAGUUGGCCUGUCCAAGACCGAAAGAAGCUGCAGAAGAUCGUGAACAUAGCCCAGCACAUCAAACAAACCAAUCACCCAUCCUUGGACUCACUUUACACCGCACGCUGUCGGAGCAGUGCUGCCAGAAUAAUCAAGGACACGACCCACCCAGCCAACACACUUUUGGUCCCUCUUCCCUCUGGGAGAAGGUUCAGGAAUUUGAAGAUUCAUACGGCCAGAUUUGGGAACAGCUUCUUUCCAACUGUGAUAAGACUGCUGAACAGAUCCUGACCCGGAUCUGGGCCGUACCUUCCAAAUAUCUGGACCUAACUUGCACUACCUUACUUUCUCUUUUCUAUUUUAUAAUUAUGAUUUAUAAUUUAAAUUUUUAUUAUAUUUACUUUGUUUUUUACUUCAGGGAGCAUGAAGCACAGAAACAAAUAUCACUGUGAUGAUUGUACACUCUAGUAUCAAUUGUUUGGUGACAAUAAAGUAAA